This 422-nucleotide ribosomal RNA is filed under the name uncultured bacterium. RNAcentral describes it as "partial 16S ribosomal RNA". It matches the Rfam family "Bacterial small subunit ribosomal RNA", at positions 360 to 774 of the family's 1533-position model. The record is from RNAcentral.
AAUUUUUGACAAUGGGGGAAACCUUGAUCCAGCCAUCCCCCGUGUAUGUUGAAGGCUUUUGGGUUGUAAAGUAUUUUUGUCAGAGAAUAAACGGUAUCUCCUAAUAUGAGGUACUGCUGACGGUAUCUGCAGAAUAAGCACCGCCUAACUACGUGCCAGCAGCCGCGGUAAUACGUAGGGUGCAAGCGUUAAUCGGAAUUACUGGGCGUAAAGCGUGUGUAGGCGGAUCGGAAAGAAAGAUGUGAAAUCCCAGGGCUCAACCUUGGAACUGCAUUUUUAACUGCCGAGCUAGAGUAUGUCAGAGGGGGGUAGAAUACCACGUGUAGCAGUGAAAUGCGUAGAUAUGUGGAGGAAUACCGAUGGCGAAGGCAGCCCCCUGGGAUAAUACUGACGCCCAGACACGAAAGCGUGGGGAGCAAACA